This 791-nucleotide ribosomal RNA is filed under the name uncultured Lactobacillus sp. Its description in RNAcentral is "bacterial SSU rRNA". It matches the Rfam family "Bacterial small subunit ribosomal RNA", at positions 28 to 776 of the family's 1533-position model. The record is from RNAcentral. Lineage: Bacteria; Bacillati; Bacillota; Bacilli; Lactobacillales; Lactobacillaceae.
GAUGAACGCCGGCGGUGUGCCUAAUACAUGCAAGUCGAACGCGUUGGCCCAACUGAUUGACGAUGCUUGCAUCCGAUUGACGUUGGAUUUCCACCGAGUGGCGGACGGGUGAGUAACACGUAGGUAACCUGCCCAGAAGCGGGGGAUAACAUCUGGAAACAGGUGCUAAUACCGCAUAACAAUUCAAAUCGCAUGGUUUGAAUUUAAAAGAUGGCUCUGCUAUCACUUCUGGAUGGACCUGCGGCGCAUUAGCUUGUUGGUAGGGUAAUGGCCUACCAAGGCAGUGAUGCGUAGCCGAGUUGAGAGACUGAUCGGCCACAAUGGGACUGAGACACGGCCCAUACUCCUACGGGAGGCAGCAGUAGGGAAUCUUCCACAAUGGGCGCAAGCCUGAUGGAGCAACACCGCGUGAGUGAAGAAGGGUUUCGGCUCGUAAAGCUCUGUUGUUGAAGAAGAACGUGCAUGAGAGUAACUGUUCAUGCAGUGACGGUAUUCAACCAGAAAGUCACGGCUAACUACGUGCCAGCAGCCGCGGUAAUACGUAGGUGGCAAGCGUUAUCCGGAUUUAUUGGGCGUAAAGAGAGUGCAGGCGGUUUCUUAAGUCUGAUGUGAAAGCCUUCGGCUCAACCGAAGAAGUGCAUCGGAAACUGGGAGACUUGAGUACAGAAGAGGGCAGUGGAACUCCAUGUGUAGCGGUGGAAUGCGUAGAUAUAUGGAAGAACACCAGUGGCGAAGGCGGCUGCCUGGUCUGUAACUGACGCUGAGACUCGAAAGCAUGGGUAGCGAACAGG